ACCUACGGGGGGCAGCAGUAGGGAAUCUUCCACAUUGGGCGAAAGCCUGAUGGAGCAACGCCGCGUGGGUGAAGAAGGUCUUCGGAUCGUAAAACCCUGUUGUUAGAGAAGAAAGUGCGUGAGAGUAACUGUUCACGUUUCGACGGUAUCUAACCAGAAAGCCACGGCUAACUACGUGCCAGCAGCCGCGGUAAUACGUAGGUGGCAAGCGUUAUCCGGAUUUAUUGGGCGUAAAGGGAACGCAGGCGGUCUUUUAAGUCUGAUGUGAAAGCCUUCGGCUUAACCGGAGUAGUGCAUUGGAAACU
Molecule: ribosomal RNA, 305 nt
Filed under: uncultured bacterium
Lineage: Bacteria
Description: bacterial SSU rRNA
Rfam family: Bacterial small subunit ribosomal RNA
Source: RNAcentral